This 253-nucleotide ribosomal RNA is filed under the name uncultured bacterium. RNAcentral describes it as "partial 16S ribosomal RNA". It matches the Rfam family "Bacterial small subunit ribosomal RNA", at positions 524 to 776 of the family's 1533-position model. The record is from RNAcentral.
UACAGAGGGGGCAAGCGUUGUUCGGAAUUACUGGGCGUAAAGGGCGCGUAGGCGGCCGCCUAAGUCAGACGUGAAAUCCCUCGGCUCAACCGGGGAACUGCGUCUGAUACUGGGUGGCUUGAAUCCGGGAGAGGGAUGCGGAAUUCCAGGUGUAGCGGUGAAAUGCGUAGAUAUCAGGAGGAACACCGGUGGCGAAGGCGGGUCUCUGGGCCGUAACUGACGCUGAGGAGCGAAAGCGUGGGGAGCGAACAGG